AUAAGAAGUAAAAUAGGUUUAACUUAAAAAGAAUUUGAAUGCCAUAAUUAAGCGAUUUAAAUAAGCUGAGCAUAUAUGAGAGUAUUCUAAAUUAUAUAUUUAUGGCAAUCUUGAUUAAAAGGCUUUAAAACAAAUCAGCACCGAAACCUACAAGACGAUCGGAAAAUGAAGUUUCCACUAAACUAGGUCGAUCUGGGGCACCAUGUAUGGGAGCAUCUUUGAGCUUUUCAGUUACAUCGCUUAGUGAAACAUUUAAGUAUAUCUCCAUAAACUGUCCAAUU
Molecule: non-coding RNA, 281 nt
Organism: Schizosaccharomyces pombe (fission yeast)
Lineage: Eukaryota; Fungi; Ascomycota; Schizosaccharomycetes; Schizosaccharomycetales; Schizosaccharomycetaceae
Source: the annotation of a GenBank genome assembly